RNAcentral lists this ribosomal RNA (468 nucleotides) under uncultured bacterium. Its description in RNAcentral is "partial 16S ribosomal RNA". It matches the Rfam family "Bacterial small subunit ribosomal RNA", at positions 28 to 507 of the family's 1533-position model. The record is from RNAcentral.
GACGAACGCUGGCGGCGUGCUUAACACAUGCAAGUCGAACGGAAAGGCCCUGCUUUUGUGGGGUGCUCGAGUGGCGAACGGGUGAGUAACACGUGAGUAACCUGCCCUUGACUUUGGGAUAACUUCAGGAAACUGGGGCUAAUACCGGAUAGGAGCUCCUGCUGCAUGGUGGGGGUGGGAAAGUUUCGGCGGUUGGGGAUGGACUCGCGGCUUAUCAGCUUGUUGGUGGGGUAGUGGCUUACCAAGGCUUUGACGGGUAGCUGGCCUGAGAGGGUGACCGGCCACAUUGGGACUGAGAUACGGCCCAGACUCCUACGGGAGGCAGCAGUGGGGAAUAUUGCACAAUGGGCGGAAGCCUGAUGCAGCAACGCCGCGUGCGGGAUGACGGCCUUCGGGUUGUAAACCGCUUUCGCCUGUGACGAAGCGUGAGUGACGGUAAUGGGUAAAGAAGCACCGGCUAACUACGUG